GUAGUCUCGCACAGAUGCAUAUCAAUAAGCGGAGGAAAAGAAACUAACAAGGAUUCCCUUAGUAACGGCGAGUGAAGCGGGAAGAGCUCAAAUUUGAAAUCUUCAAGGUUUUACCUUGACGAAUUGUAGUUUAAAGAAGUGUUUUCUGUUGAAGUUUUGGUAAAAGUUCUUUGGAAUAGGACAUCAUAGAGGGUGAGAAUCCCGUAUUUGACCAUUAUUUUCAGCUGUGUGAUACACUUUCAAAGAGUCGGAUUGUUUGGGAAUGCAGUCCAAAAUGGGUGGUAAAUUUCAUCUAAAGCUAAAUAUUGGCGAGAGACCGAUAGCGAACAAGUACCGUGAGGGAAAGAUGAAAAGAACUUUGAAAAGAGAGUUAAACAGUACGUGAAAUUGUCAAAAGGGAAGCGUUUGACACCAGUGUUGUUUUCUCGAAGAAUCAAUUAAAAAGAGUUAGAUUUUGUUGUGUAUUGACCUUAACAGCUUGCAUUUCAAUUUUCUUGCUUUUUUUAAUGCACUUUUCGUUUAACAAGUCAACAUCAGUUUCUUUUGUUGUAAAAAGGUCAUUGGAAGGUGGCUUUCUUUUCGGAGAAAGUGUUUAUAGCCUUUGACUCCUGCAAUCGGAGAGACUGAGGUCUGCAGCGUAGAUCCUUCGGGGUUAGAUACAUUUGUGCUAAGUUAUAGCUUUUUAUAGACAACUUGUUGACUAUGAUUAGUCUUGUAGCUUACUCGCUUAUGCUAUUUUACCUACGCUUAGGAUGUUGAGCGCAUGUCUCUCUCU
Molecule: ribosomal RNA, 775 nt
Filed under: uncultured Neocallimastigales
Lineage: Eukaryota; Fungi; Neocallimastigomycota; Neocallimastigomycetes; Neocallimastigales
Description: partial large subunit ribosomal RNA
Rfam family: Eukaryotic large subunit ribosomal RNA
Source: RNAcentral